GACAAUUGAGAUUUGAGAGAAAUAAGAUAGAACAGCAAAACAACAAAGCAAGUGUCAAUUUGUUUGGUAACGGCAACGCAUAGUAAUUGUAAAUGGGAUUAAGAGUCAAGUUCUGGAACCACAUCUCUCUUUUUAUACCUAAACAACUGCUUCUUUCAUCCCAUUCUCUUCCCAAAUCAUCAAUUUCUGUUCACAGUUUACCAACCCACGCAAAACCACUCGUUAGAGCGCUUGGCACAGCAUCACCAGCCAAAAUGGUCAAAUCUAUUAGGGUUCAUGAGCUUGAUGGACCUGAGGUCUGUUUCUCUGUCACUUUCUUCAAUCCAUAACAUUUCAUGUUAAAUUUGAUUGGGUUUGAUAGGCACUCCCAAAUCAUAUUUCAGUUAUGCUGGCGUACAAUGUAUCGGCUUACAACAUUUUCACUUAUGUGUAUUCUAGAAUUUAAUUUUCUUGAUUUGGUUUUGGUUUCACCUCAACAAAUUUCAUAUCUGGGUUUUGUCUGCAUAUAACUAUUUUAGAACUUUCAUUUAGAAGAACAGCGGCUGUUCUUCUUGUUCUUAAGUCAGUCUUUUUCAGUUAUUUGUAUACAUGAUGACACUAGGUCCUCAAGUGGGAGGAUGUUGAGAUAGGAGAGCCAGGUGAGGGCUAGAUGCGUGUGAAAAACAAAGCCACUGGGCUUAACUUCUUUGAUGUGUACUUCAGAAAAGGAGUUUAUAAUAAGGCUCCUUCAAUGCCCUUCACUCCAGGUUUUGCUCUCUCUGUUCACCGCAUAAAUUUGCCAUUCAACACCUACAUAUAUAUUUCUGCCGGGAAUGGAUUCUACUUAUCAUUAUUUAUUUAUUUAUAUUUUUAUAAGAGAACAUAUUAUCAGUAAUAAAGGCUCCAAACGGAGAUUUCACUCUGUGCUCUUGGUCUUGGAGUGUGCUUACAGUUACAGUUUGCUUAGGUCCUGACUGCCUGGGUUUAUUGAAUGCCAAAUGAAUUUAUUAUUGUUUUUUCAAUGGAUUUUGUUCGCCUUAAAAAUGAAAACAAGGCAUGAAUUUUUGUGUACUCUUAGUUAUGGCUAUCUUAGAGUUCAUUUAUAAAUGAAAUCACAUGAUAAGAUGAACUUUAUCUUCUUGUGCGGUUGUUCUUAUGGGGUAUUUAGUUGCAUGGGAAAUAACUUUUCUUGAAAAGCCAUUAAUACAACAGUCAUCUCUGAAGCAACCAGCUGGGAAAGGCAGCAGCAAUAUGUAGAAGAAGGGAACGAUGCCUUUGUGGUAGUAGGUUUGGUGUCCGUAAUUCUGCUUGAAUUUGGAUAUAGCAUAAAGAAAAGAACACAUUUUUAUGCAGUGUGGUCUUUGUUUGAACUAAUUGAAAAUAAUGUGUUAGUUUUUGAAUGACACAUUUGUUCAAUCAACAUGAAUUUGGAUUAGGGGUGGGGGGCAAGAGGGUUCUUGACUGUUAAAGUGGACUCAAAUCCUGCUUCCUUAGAGAGGUAACCAACUACAAAUAACUGAAGCUUUUAUAGAAAAUUUCCUCUGAAAUAGUUUGUACCUGUUCUUGACUUGGGGAAUGAUGAAAAUAUUAUCACACAUUUUGCUAGUGAUGCUUGAAUGUGAUCUUAAUUGGAGAUAAAUAUCAUAUGGGAUUUGUUAAUGGUUGCUAUCAUAAACGCUUAAAGUCAACUUGGCAUAGAAGUUAAUUACUGUAACUUGUGUGAUUGAUAUACUGUUGAUUUUUAUUGGAAUAUAGACUUCUGGAAUUCUACCUCUCUGAAUUUUAGAUGUCAUAAAUGAAGAAAAAGAGUUUAUACUCCUUUUAGUGGAUUUUAUUGGAAGGAUGAUAUAGUCCAUACUCCAUAAUGAAUAAUUGAGACAUCAAAAUUUGAAGGAUGAAAGAUAGAUGCAUGGAAUUUAGAAUCUUGACAAAUCAAAUUGUCUUGGUGUUUGCUAGAUCUGUAGACACUGUAAAGGUGCCCAAGUGUUGUGAUCUAUUUUUCUAUUCUACCUGUUGAUGUUGGCUAUAAGCAUUGUAAAGAUAGUCUUGCAUGGAGUCAUUGACAAUAAUUCUCUAAUGUAUCUCUUAUGUAGGUAUGGAGGCUGUUGGAGAAGUGAUAGCUGUGGGCCCUGGACUUACUGGUAGGAACAUUGGAGAUAUUGUAGCCUAUGCUGGCAAUCCUAUGGGCUCAUAUGCUGAAGAGCAGAUCCUUCCUGCAAACAAGGUUGUGCCCGUUCCUUCCUCCAUCAGUCCUGUUAUUGCAGCAUCUGUUAUGCUUAAGGGAAUGACUACUCAGUUCCUAGUCCGCCGUUGCUUCAAGGUAGGUUGUAUAGUAAGUCUUCAUAAUUCAUAUUAUUGUGAUUAUUAGGUCAUGGAAUUAUUUUUAAUUUGAAAUCAGGACAAAUAAUGUCACAAUAAUAAAAUUCCUGAUGUCUUUCCAUCAGGAAAGGUAAAAAUAUACCCAUCGAUGCCCCCAACGUUGCAUAUGAAUGAUGAAUCACAUUUGCAUUAAUGCAUAAGUCUUUUAAUGUAAUGUAACUAAAACAUUACCACUGGAUAUGCAGUUCAUUACCAGUGAAUAUGUUAAUUUCAUAAAUUUGUGCAUACAUGCUUACACCUGUACGACUUACAAUACAAAUUUGUGUUAAUUUCUCCAAACUAUUUCUGGGUUUCAGCUGCAUGGACUUUCUUUUGAUUAGACACUCUCUGAACACACAUCUUGCUAAUAAUUAUUUACAUUAGUUAAUUGUUUGUUCUUUUCUGUAGGAAUGUAUUUCCGAGUUCUUAUUUUAUUAUAGGUUGAACCUGGGCAUACCAUCCUUGUUCAUGCUGCAGCUGGUGGAGUUGGCUCUCUCUUAUGCCAGUGGGCAAAUGCCCUGGGUGCCACUGUCAUUGGAACCGUCUCAUCCAAGGAGAAGGCGGCACAAGCCAAGGAUGAUGGAUGUCACCAUGUAAUAAACUAUAAAGAAGAAGAUUUUGUUCUCCGUGUCAAUGAGAUCACAUCAGGCAGGGGUGUCAAUGUUGUCUAUGAUUCUGUGGGGAAAGACACCUUUCAGGUAAUUUAUACUCUAUUCUCCUGCAAGGUGGUUUUUUGGAAUACAUAACAAUAUUGUUCUGAAUCCACAAUUUGUGAAUUGAUGAUUCAAAGUUAUUUUAUUCUAUAUGCUUUUUAUGUCAUCACAUUUUACCGGCCAUAUGGCAGCACACCUUGAGUAGGUUCAGUUUUCCAUUAUAUCAUGUCAUCAAAUGGUUUAGAUUAUCAACCCAAGGACCAUUGCAGCAGUUAUAGUUACAAAGGUUUCACCUAAUCUUAUAAUUAUUUCUCUCUGCAAGGUCUUAUCUUCCAAAAUCUUGUUUUUUCAUUGGGCUGUUUUAGAAGGUUAUAAAACACCAUAGCUGUACAUUGGUCAAAAUUAACUGUUGGCCCAAGUAGUUAUAAUUACACAGGCACAGAGCCAAGUUGCACUUUGCUUUCUUGAAAUUUUAGUGGUUAAGAGCUCUUAGCAAAUCAUGAUAUUCAGGGAUCACUGGCAUGCCUGAAGACUCGUGGGUACAUGGUGAGUUUUGGGCAGUCAUCAGGUACACCAGAUCCACUUCCAUUGUCAGCGCUUGCGCCAAAAGCACUGUUCUUGACAAGGCCUUCCCUCAUGCUCUACACUGAAACUCGAGAUGAGCUGCUGGAAACUGCUGGAGAGGUAUUUGCCAACAUUGCUUCAGGUGUAUUGCGAGUUCGAGUAAACCAUACAUACCCUUUGUCUGAGGCAGCACAAGCACAUGCGGACCUCGAGAGUCGGAAAACAUCUGGGUCAAUUGUAUUGAUACCAUGAAGCAAAUGUUUAGUUGCCAGCUAUGCUCAACUCUUCAUUGAGGAAUCUACUCUUGGUGAUUUGCACUUUAUUAGUGCCAGGUUGUGUAAGAUAAAUAAUGUGUGUUAUGGCAGUUGGAAAAAGAAAUCAAAACAUGCAAGGAUAAUUUUCAUUAUGUGUAAUAAAAGGUUUUGCAUCAUCAUCAAUCUGUGUUCUCCUUGUGCGUAUCCUGUUUUGGUUCCCAGCUAGGGAUAAGCUGCUUCUCAUGUAUGCAAUUUAAAAUGGACAUACGAGUUCAGAAAAAGGUGAGGCAGUGCUUACUAAGGAUGAUUCAAAACAUUCACCUUUUACAUGAAUAUAAAAAUAAAAUAAAGCUUUUAC
RNAcentral lists this unclassified non-coding RNA (4166 nucleotides) under Hevea brasiliensis (rubber tree). The record is from RNAcentral. Lineage: Eukaryota; Viridiplantae; Streptophyta; Magnoliopsida; Malpighiales; Euphorbiaceae.